RNAcentral lists this transfer RNA (78 nucleotides) under Candidatus Sumerlaeota bacterium. RNAcentral describes it as "tRNA-Asp". It matches the Rfam family "tRNA". Rfam says of the family: Transfer RNA (tRNA) molecules are approximately 80 nucleotides in length. Their secondary structure includes four short double-helical elements and three loops (D, anti-codon, and T loops). Lineage: Bacteria; Candidatus Sumerlaeota. The record is from RNAcentral.
GGGGGAGUAGCUCAGCUUGGUUAGAGCGCCGGCCUGUCACGCCGGAGGUCGCGAGUUCAAGUCUCGUCUCUCCCGCCA